This 403-nucleotide unclassified non-coding RNA is filed under the name Borreliella burgdorferi (Lyme disease spirochete). Its description in RNAcentral is "partial contains 5S-23S ribosomal RNA intergenic spacer and 23S ribosomal RNA". Lineage: Bacteria; Pseudomonadati; Spirochaetota; Spirochaetia; Spirochaetales; Borreliaceae. The record is from RNAcentral.
GUAGAGUCCAGGGUUUCCAUUUUUAUUAUUAAACUUUUUUAUCUUGAAUUGUUUUUUAAAUAUUGGUGUUUAUGAAUGUAWWGYWUAMAWAWCAUAWAAAAUAWAAUAUAUAUAUUGACAUGCAUUAAACAAAGAUAUAUAUUAUUUUAUGUUGUAUAAAYAAAUUGGCAAAAUAGAGAUGGAAGAUAAAAAUAUGGUCAAAGUAAUAAGAGUCUAUGGUGAAUGCCUAGGAGCUUUAAGGCGAAGAAGGUCGUGGUAAGCUGCGAAAAGCUUGGGGGAGAAGCAAACAUUUAUUGAUCCCAAGAUUACCGAAUGGUAGCUCCAUGCUAGCUAUCUAUUAUCUAUCUAUUAUUUAAAUAAUAGAGGCGAUACCAACCAUCUUGGUACCCUGAAGUACCCUGAA